UGAGAUAUGGAAGACACCUAGGGUUUUCUGGAGGACACAUAAACUUGGAAAUGGGACAAGCUAUAGGGAAGAGCUUCCCAAAUCUCAAAUGGCUUAACCUUAGGGGAAGUGGCAUUGAUAGGUAUGGUCUGCAAAGUAUAUUGGAGUCCUGCAAGGGGCUGGAGUACCUUAAUGUGAUGGGGUGUCCUAGACUCACUCAAUGCAGUACACUCACUGACAAGGUUGCAGACAUACUAGAGUUCAAGUGUUCAAAAAUCAGCAACUUCUACAACUAUGACCAUGAAUAUGACCAGGACUUUAAUGGCUUUGACCUUGGGUAUUCUUGAGAGAGAGAGAGAAAGAGAGAGUAAGAACUAUAUGUACAGGGAUGGAUGGUGAAUAAGAUCCCUUGUUUUUAGGUGCAUCAUGGAUUCUAUAGAUGCUCAUGUGCAUGUUUAUUUUGGUACAAAAGGAUAGGUAAAGUAGAUCUUAGGUUUUUAUUUUUGAGGAUGAUGAUUGAUGUACCUUCGAUGGAUCAAACUAAUCUCCACAGUAUUGGAGAUUUUUUUGGUGGGACUCAAACGGGUAACUUUCUGAGAAGAUUAUGGUGCUCCUGUUAAGCAAAUUGUACAUUUGCUUUAUGGGGAAAAAGAUGUGGUGCUCUUGCAGGAAUAAGUUGUGCAUUUGCUCUUGUGGGAAAAAUACAUACAUGUAUAAACAAUAAAGGAUCGGCUAGUUCCCUAACAAAACCGGCAAGUUCCGAUAUUUAGUGGGAAUUAAGACCGGUCCACCAAUUCUUAAUCCAGAUCAAGUGAUUUCAAUUGGGGUUAGUGUUUUUUAAAACCCUAGUCUAAGCUACAUGGAGAUAUAGGAACCUAUAAGCUCCAAGAGGAUCUGUUGGAUACAUGAAUCUACAUUGGUUAAGUGUCAACUAUGCCAUGCAGAUCUAAUAUCGUUUGCCAUGUCAAUUCAAUGGUUCGAAACGGCGUUUAAAAAAUCAGAUUGGAAUGGUUGCUUUUUGUUGUUCAACUUGGAAUGGAUGGGGACCGGUAUAUGAUCCCCAUGGAAUUGAGGCUAGGACCAAUACUCCCACAAUAUGAUGUGUUUUUCUUUUUAUAUUGCAAAACAUUGUUUUAAGAGUGACUUGAGUAUUCUAAUUUUUUUAAUUUAAACUAAUAAUAUUGAAGUUUUAUAUAUUUUUAAAAUUGGCCAAGCUAGCUCAUUGAAUCGGAUUUGGAUCCAGUGGGUAACCAGUUCAACCCACUAGUUGGACUUUCUAAACACUAGUAUGAAAUAAAUAUAAAUAAAAAGUUAUUGAGUUUAAUAUGAAGUAAAAAAUUCCAACACACUUUAAGGGUACUUCUUAAUAGUGAUAAAGCUCUCUGUAUAAUCUUAACAUGAAAAUCCAAUAAAGAUGGUCCAUAUCUAAUAUUAGAAUUUAGAAAGAGCUUACCCAAGAUGCUAGAAUGUAAACAUAUCCUUUUGUUAGAUCGGAAGUGUAAAGUUAAAAGUGUAAAUUUUAUGAUUUAGGUAUUUCUUCAUUCCCUUCAAUCUUAAGACCCAACUUAUAAGAAGCGACUGUGAUUUUAUGCAACGAUUGUAUAGUAAUAUAAUGCAACAAUUUUUUAGAAUCAUGUUAAAGCUAUUUGUUUGAUUCAAAAUUUGAACUAUAUAUUAUUUUCAUUAUAAUGAACAAUCACAAAAAAGAAAAAUUUGAAACCGGAAACUAAAAAGUAUUUUUAAGUUCAAUUAACAUAGGUCGUCCAUUUCAAUAAGAUGCUUAGAUCUAGGCCUUAGAAAAAAAAUUUCUUUUUCAAUUUUUUUAGAUGGCUUUAUUAGCAGUAGAUGAAUAAUGUUAAAAAGAAAAAUAUAAUUUUAAGUUUGUAGAGGUUAAGAUCUUGAAAUUCACCAAAUGAAUGGCCUCAAUUCGUUGUUGGAGAUGACUCAUUUUAACCAUAUCUAAGGUUCAAAUUGAACUCUUUUUUUUUUAAGGGGGAAUUGAUUACUGAGAUGAAGAGAGUGUGUGUGAAAAAUUUUGGGUCUUACAAAUACCACACAUAGUUUUUUAGAAGUGUGGUCGCAUGAUACUAUGAUACAACCGUUGCAUGAGAUCACUGCUCAUUAAAAUAGGAAAGUGAUUUCAUGCAACGGUUGUAUAGUAAUAUAAUACAAUAUUUUUCAAAAACCAUGUUAAGGUCAUUUGUUUGAUUCAAAUUUUGAAACAUGCACUAUUUUUAUUGUAAUGAACAAUCACAAAAAAAAAAAAUUUUGAAACCGGAACCUAAAAGUAUUUUUAAGCUCAAUUAACAUAAACCAUCCAUUUUGAUAAGAUGCUUUUCAUGAUCACCCAAAUGACAGCUUUUACAAUAAAAUGUCAUUUGGUCUCCGAGGCCAAAAUGGACAUUAAAAUAUUGAAAAGUCAUUAAAAAAUAAUCUAACUUUUCAUGAUCGCCCAAAGACAGCUUUUAUCCAACUUUUCAUGAUUGCCCAAAGACAGCUUUUAUCCAACUUUUCAUGAUUGCCCAAAGACAGCUUUUACCAUAGGAUUUAAUUAGAACUUGAUUGACAGCUUUUACCAUCGGAUUUAAUUAGAACUUGAUCCCAAAAAUGGAGCAUUGUAUUGCCCAACUUGGGAAACCAUUGAAAAAACCCCACAAAUCGGGUGGUUUUCAAUGCUUGUCUCCCUUUCUAAAGAGAACAAAAGAGAGAGUUUCCUUUGAAUCACUCGCCCAAUUAUGAGGGAACACCAAGCAAUACCCAUUGAGUUUGAGCACACUCCAAUUUAGCUUAGGAAAAAGUUUAUAUAAGAGCGGGGCUCUAAACAAUCAAAUUAGGAUGAGGAUACUAAAAAAUUUGAGGUUGAUCAUCCUGUUGGGUCCGAGUGGACCCGGACUCGAUCCAACCCGUUCCCACCCUAGUGGGCAUUGCCAUUGCCACCACAAAACCACCUACAAUCGAACUUAGUUUUGCAAUCCCCAUCAUUUAAUUGUAGGGCCCGCAUAGAAACCGUGUCCUAUCUUUUAUUACAUAAAAGAAUACUGGAGUCGCAUAGUCCACGAAUAUUUAUGUCUAAUCAUAGUGCACAAAAUAUUAAAAAAAUUUCUAUAAGGUUGCAACCUUAAAGUAAUAAAUUGCGCCUUAAAAAUUCUUUAGAAGAGAGUAUUUCGAUAUUGGAUAACCUUUAAAUUGAUCAUUUCAACUUAGAGAUGCCCGGAUAUAAAAGAAAAAUAAUAAUUUCAAGUCUUAAAAAUAAUGCAUUCGACAACAAAUUAUCUAAACUGUCUAUUUUCAAGUAUUUAUAGAUCUACCAGAUUUAUACUAUUUUUAAAAAAUUUAAACUUAAAAUUUAUAAACAAAAAUAAAUUUAAAAUUUAAAGCCAUAGUAAAGUUUUCGACCUAGAAGUGCAUCUUGAAACAAAUUUUAGAGGUGAGUCCUACUUCUACAGUAUAAGGAAGACGCCUUAUACAAACCUCACUCCUAAAAUAUUAACAUUGCAAGAUAAAGACAAGCCCGUGUCAACAUCUCACGAAACAAAAUUGGCCUCCAUCCAAAUCUCCCUAACAAACAAUUCACAUUACAAAUCAAUAAUCUCUAGAAAAGCAAAUGGGGAACCUAGGCAAUCCAACGGCUAUGCUUUAAUCUCUUGCUAGGUGACAUGAUAAGAGGGAGACGUCAAAGCAAUGUUCUUGAACCUUGAAAUGAAAAUGGAAUGUACUAAAGAUGAGUGGAGGCUAGAGAGAGAGAGAGAGAGAGAGAGGUAGUUACGCCUAGAGAGAAGAAGAGAGAGAGAGAGGAGGGUAGGGUAGAGAGUAGUUAGUUACGUCUAGAGAGAGAGAGAGAGUAGAGAGUAGAGAGUGAGAGUAGAGGAGGUAGGUAGUAGAGUAAGUUACGUUCGUCUAGAGAGAGAGAGGAGNNNNNNNNNNNNNNNNNNNNNNNNNNNNNNNNNNNNNNNNNNNNNNNNNNNNNNNNNNNNNNNNNNNNNNNNNNNNUAGAGAGAGAGGGAGUAAUAGUUCGUUAGUUUCGUUAGUCGUUAGUAGAGAGAGAGAGAGAAGAAGGGUUAGGUCGUCGAUCUAGAGGAAAGUAAACAUUUUAGUAUAUAGAGAGAGAGAGAGAGAAUUUAGCCUUUAGAGAGAGAGAGAAAAUUUAGCCUUUAGAGAGAGAGAGAGAGGAGUUUAGGCACUUUGAUCCAUGGAGGAUCGGUGGGCAAGCCUCCCUCAAGAAAUCUUGAUCCACAUCUUCUCUCUCCUGAACCACUUCCAGUCCCUCCGCUCGCUCUCGCAUGUCUGUAAAUCCUGGCGCGAGGCCUCUCUGGAUUCCGCCUGUUGGGAUCCCUUGCACUUGUCUGAUCACAAAGCUUUCAUCUCCUCACUCCUCAAGGAAGAAGACAUUCUUGAUCGCACUGUGAACCAGAGGACCUUCUUUCUGCUCAAACGUUGUCGAGGCAAUGUCAAGUCCAUCUCCUAUCGCUUCAUCGCCAACGAUUCCAGUCUUCAUCAAAUUGUAGAGAGGCAAUUCUUACCUUGUUCUUCUCUCUCUGUUUCUCUCUUCUUAUUUUUUGCUUUUUUUUCUUUGAAUUAGAUUGGGUUGGGAACAUUGCUUUUAUAGGGAUAGGGGUGGCAAUGGACCCGAACCCGACAUACGAUCCGAGGGGUAGACCUGAUCCCGGUUACACUAUUUGAGUUUGGGUUCCGAUCGGGUGCGGUCAGGUCCGGGUCCGGUAAGAUUUUUCAGGCCCCAAUUUAUGAAAUAUAUUUAAAUAUAAUUAAAUACAUAGAUAUUUUAAUUUUUGGGUAUGACUGGACCCGGACCUGUUCUGACCCGUUGCCACCCCUAAAUGGAGACUCAUCGGUUUGUUGAAUCAUUUACUGAUCGUUCUAAUAUGGAUGUUGUUUCUGUUAGGCCCGGGCCUUGUGAAAAUAGUAAAGCUUAAUCUCAUAAUCUCGUCGAGAAAAUACUUGGGGCAUGAAAAUCCCCAUGGUAGCUCUAAAAUCUAUUUUCACCAUUAAUUUAAAAAUUUGUAGCUCAAAAAAUGAUAGAGAACACCAUGAUAGCUCUAAAAUCUAUUUUCAUCAUUAAUUUAUAAAUUGGUAGCUCAAAAAAUGAUAAAGAUAUUGUGAGGGAGUUCAUAUGGCAUCAGAGGUAUUGUUAUUUGAGGUAGUUGAAUUGGUUAACUUUUUAGGAAUCAAGCCUUGGUGCCACAAUGAAUGCAGGAGUGUUGAUUUUCUAGGUAACAUUUGGGAGUGCACAGGUGGGAUAGCUUUUGAAAAGAUAAACUUUAUAAAAUACUGAUAAGUUUAUCAAUUUUUUUUUUUUUUUUUUUGACAAAUGUUACUACUUUUAUUGAUAACUAACUGAUAAAUUUACCAUUAUUGGACAUUAUGAUGGGCACGGCAAACAACAAACAAUUCAUUACCAGAUUAAUUUUUUUAAGGAUAAUGGUUUGAUAGUGCAGCCCUAUCAAAAUAAGUCAAGCCUCACUUCAUAAGUCAUCGAAAAUUACAAUUCAAGCAUUAGAAAACCUUUACAUCGGUCAUCUUAGAUUGAACAUUAUGCUUGUGAAAAAAAAAAAGGGAUUUCAAGUUCUAAAAAUAAUGUAUAUUGUAACAAAUUAUCUAGACCAUUUGUUUUACCCUAAAAGUAAGUGUUCCUAGAUCCACAAAAUUUGUACCAUUUUUUGAGUUUCGAAUUUCUUUAGUUGGUGUUGGAAAUUGAUUUUAGAGCUAUCAUGGAUAUUUUUUUUGCCGAAAGUGCUUUCUCCAUGAGGAUUUUAGAUGAAGCUUUAUUUUUGUUUUCGUAAAGCCUAGGCCUCAUAGAAAGCUCAGCCUUUUAUUAAAACAAAGAAUUAUUGGUAAUAUUAAGUACAUCCAAAUAGGCCCUUAGGCAAGAUAAACGAUUUUGGAGGAUUACUUUGAUCUGAAAUUUUAGGGGACAUCGUAGAGUCAAGAGAUAAAUAAUUGCUGGAAAAAAAGAAAGAAUGACUUCUAGAAAGUUAAGGGCUAUGUGUUCACUCUUGGGAGAGGAUAUUUUGUAGGAUAUUUUGUAGGCAAUAUUUGGGUCCAAUUACAUUUUUGUUCUUUCUUUCUUUUUUUUAUUUGUUUAAGGUUAAUCACUAGUCUAGAGUAUAUCAAGAAGAUUUGGGGUCCUUUGAAGUAGUUUCAUGCCCCUCAGGAGCUAGUGUACAAUUUGUUUCCAAGAGAGCAUACAUUCUUUUCUCAAUAUAUUUAUAUGGGCAUGGUUCUUUAUGGGUGCACAAUGAUGUGAAUUAGGUACAUACAUUAUAUGUUUUUGCAGUGAGAUUCUAUGUUGUGACACCAUUUAGGCAUUUACUUAUGGGUGCGGUUUGUAUAGAGUUGAGGCUCUAAACAAUCAAAUUAGAGCCCACCUUCAAAUAGUGUUGAGAAAUGUGGUUUUAAUACCGGAAAUCUUUGCGAUAGCCUUAAAAUAUAUUUUCAUCAUUAAUUAUAAAAUUUAAAACUUAAAAAAUAGUGUAGACCAAGGAGAUCUAUGAUAAUAUUACAAGAUGCACUAUUUCCAAAACUUGGAAUCUAUUUUAUUUUCAUGUAUCUUGUGUUGAGAUGAUCAAUUUGAGAAUAUGUGGGCAUCAAAACAACCUCUUCUAGUGAAAUUUUUUAUGUGGGCUAUAACAAAUUUUGUUGUUUAGAGCGUCGUCUCUAUAUGAACUUUUUCUUUUACUACUAAGAGGACAAGAAGAUCACAAUUACUUAGCCAUCGAUUUGAAAUUGGAUGUAUCACAAAGUUGAAAAAAAUAUCUUUUGGACUUUUAGUUUGGUUAUUGAUACAACCACAUAUAUCUUAUUGUGACCUACUUGUACCAAAGGAAAAUGAUUUUAUCUACACUUUUCAGUUUGUAAUUGUAUAUAGCAAUGACUAAUAUGCACAUCAAUUAAUGCAAAAAUGUUCCACAACCCCACACUUUAGCAAUUAAGGAAAGCUUUCUAUACACCACUAGGUGCAUGGAAUUCAUAUAUGCCACCCCUCCCAGCCGUUCAAUCUGAAUGGACAAUUAAGGUGCCCCCAAUCGUAAUAUCACGCCUAAACACUGUUUUAUUUUUAUUUAAUUCAUUUAGAAAUGAUAUUGACCCAAAAUUUGUAGCUUCCAAUCCUUUAUGAUAAAUAUAAAAAAUAUUCUUGAUAAAUAAAUAAUCAAAAUACCCCUAAAAUUUUUAGGGGGAAUUUGGUUAUUUUGUUUGAGAGGUCUGACAUAGAUCAAACGAUCAGUGGCUCACUAGCUCACUUAUGACAUUAUAGCGAAAGCUAUCCUAACCAUCAUUCAAAUAUGGCGGCUCGGAGAGAGUGGCAUAUAUAAAAUCUCUACACCUAGUUGUGUAUAGAAAGCUUUUUCAGAAGUAAAUAUUAGAAAGAAAAGAAAUACAGCAUAAGAAAGAGCAGCUGCUUUAAUAGUGUUCCAUUUACAGGUAUCCAUUAUUGGAGUCUCUGUCUCUGCGAAACUGCGCUAGUGUUUCAAGUAAAGCUGUGUGUCAAGUGCUGAAAUCAUGCAAAGAACUGAAGCUCUUGGAUCUCGGUGGAAGCUACUGCUUAAAUGCAAGAGCCAUUCAAGAAGUUGAGGGAAUGUGCCCUAAGCUUGUAGGGUUGAAUUAUGGAGGACACAUAAACUUGGAAAUGGGACAAGCUAUAGGGAAGAGCUUCCCAAAUCUCAAAUGGCUUAACCUUAGGGGAAGUGGCAUUGAUAGGUAUGGUCUGCAAAGUAUAUUGGAGUCCUGCAAGGGGCUGGAGUACCUUAAUGUGAUGGGGUGUCCUAGACUCACUCUAAGCAGUACACUCACUAACAAGGUUGCAGGCCUACUAGAGUUCAAGUGUUCACACUUCAGCUACUUC
This 7837-nucleotide long non-coding RNA is filed under the name Amborella trichopoda. RNAcentral describes it as "long non-coding RNA (ATRI_LNC004614)". The record is from RNAcentral. Lineage: Eukaryota; Viridiplantae; Streptophyta; Magnoliopsida; Amborellales; Amborellaceae.